This 731-nucleotide ribosomal RNA is filed under the name Erwinia sp. RNAcentral's name for it is "bacterial SSU rRNA". It matches the Rfam family "Bacterial small subunit ribosomal RNA", at positions 61 to 784 of the family's 1533-position model. The record is from RNAcentral. Lineage: Bacteria; Pseudomonadati; Pseudomonadota; Gammaproteobacteria; Enterobacterales; Erwiniaceae.
GUCGACGGUAGCACAGAGAGCUUGCUCUCGGGUGACGAGUGGCGGACGGGUGAGUAAUGUCUGGGAAACUGCCCGAUGGAGGGGGAUAACUACUGGAAACGGUAGCUAAUACCGCAUAACGUCGCAAGACCAAAGUGGGGGACCUUCGGGCCUCACACCAUCGGAUGUGCCCAGAUGGGAUUAGCUAGUAGGUGGGGUAAUGGCUCACCUAGGCGACGAUCCCUAGCUGGUCUGAGAGGAUGACCAGCCACACUGGAACUGAGACACGGUCCAGACUCCUACGGGAGGCAGCAGUGGGGAAUAUUGCACAAUGGGCGCAAGCCUGAUGCAGCCAUGCCGCGUGUAUGAAGAAGGCCUUCGGGUUGUAAAGUACUUUCAGCGGGGAGGAAGGCGGUGAAGUUAAUAGCUUCACCGAUUGACGUUACCCGCAGAAGAAGCACCGGCUAACUCCGUGCCAGCAGCCGCGGUAAUACGGAGGGUGCAAGCGUUAAUCGGAAUUACUGGGCGUAAAGCGCACGCAGGCGGUCUGUCAAGUCGGAUGUGAAAUCCCCGGGCUUAACCUGGGAACUGCAUUCGAAACUGGCAGGCUGGAGUCUUGUAGAGGGGGGUAGAAUUCCAGGUGUAGCGGUGAAAUGCGUAGAGAUCUGGAGGAAUACCGGUGGCGAAGGCGGCCCCCUGGACAAAGACUGACGCUCAGGUGCGAAAGCGUGGGGAGCAAACAGGAUUAGAUA